GUGUCAGCCGCCGCGGUAAUACAGAGGUCCCAAGCGUUGUUCGGAUUCACUGGGCGUAAAGGGUGCGUAGGCGGUCAAAUAAGUCUAAUGUGAAAUCUUCGAGCUUAACUCGGAAACUGCAUCGGAAACUAUUUGGCUAGAGGAUUGGAGGGGAGACUGGAAUUCUCGGUGUAGCAGUGAAAUGCGUAGAUAUCGAGAGGAACACCAGUGGCGAAGGCGAGUCUCUGGACAAUUCCUGACGCUGAGGCACGAAAGCUAGGGGAGCAAACAGGAUUAGAAACCCGCGUAGUCC
RNAcentral lists this ribosomal RNA (292 nucleotides) under uncultured bacterium. RNAcentral's name for it is "partial 16S ribosomal RNA". It matches the Rfam family "Bacterial small subunit ribosomal RNA", at positions 505 to 796 of the family's 1533-position model. The record is from RNAcentral.